This 495-nucleotide ribosomal RNA is filed under the name uncultured bacterium. RNAcentral's name for it is "partial 16S ribosomal RNA". It matches the Rfam family "Bacterial small subunit ribosomal RNA", at positions 28 to 507 of the family's 1533-position model. The record is from RNAcentral.
GACGAACGCUGGCGGCGUGCCUAAUACAUGCAAGUAGAACGCUGAAGGAGGAGCUUGCUUCUCCGGAUGAGUUGCGAACGGGUGAGUAACGCGUAGGUAACCUGCCUGGUAGCGGGGGAUAACUAUUGGAAACGAUAGCUAAUACCGCAUAAGAGUAGAUGUUGCAUGACAUUUGCUUAAAAGGUGCAAUUGCAUCACUACCAGAUGGACCUGCGUUGUAUUAGCUAGUUGGUGGGGUAACGGCUUACCAAGGCGACGAUACAUAGCCGACCUGAGAGGGUGAUCGGCCACACUGGGACUGAGACACGGCCCAGACUCCUACGGGAGGCAGCAGUAGGGAAUCUUCGGCAAUGGACGGAAGUCUGACCGAGCAACGCCGCGUGAGUGAAGAAGGUUUUCGGAUCGUAAGGCUCUGUUGUAAGAGAAGAACGAGUGUGAGAGUGGAAAGUUCACACUGUGACGGUAUCUUACCAGAAAGGGACGGCUAACUACGUG